Molecule: small RNA, 16 nt
Filed under: Arabidopsis thaliana (thale cress)
Lineage: Eukaryota; Viridiplantae; Streptophyta; Magnoliopsida; Brassicales; Brassicaceae
Description: ATSL191380
Source: RNAcentral
AGUUUUAUCAUUAAUA